RNAcentral lists this ribosomal RNA (253 nucleotides) under uncultured bacterium. Its description in RNAcentral is "partial 16S ribosomal RNA". It matches the Rfam family "Bacterial small subunit ribosomal RNA", at positions 524 to 776 of the family's 1533-position model. The record is from RNAcentral.
UACGGAGGGUGCAAGCGUUGUUCGGAUUCAUUGGGCGUAAAGCGAGUGUAGGCGGUCUUACCAGUCGGUUGUGAAAGCCCGGGGCUCAACCCCGGAACUGCGUCCGAUACUGUUUGGCUAGAGUCCCGGAGAGGGUGGCGGAAUUCCCGGUGUAGGGGUGAAAUCCGUAGAUAUCGGGAGGAACACCAGUGGCGAAGGCGGCCACCUGGACGGUGACUGACGCUGAGACUCGAAAGCGUGGGUAGCAAACAGG